CUUUUUUUUACCUUUGCUAUCAGGAGUCAGGGAUCAGUCUUCUUCCUCCAGAUGUCUCUCGUUCCUCGUCUACAGUAGAUCGGGGCGAACCAGGGGCGAUUCGUUUCCCGGCGUCGAUUUCGUCUGCUUCUCUUCGCCUCCGGUGGCCGUUCCGGCGCUGGAGGUGAAGGGAAGCUACGGAAUCGAUGGCCGGUGUACAUACCUACUCCUAUUAGUCUAGGUUUCAUAGGUUAGGGUUUGCCUACUCCGAAUCGAGGUCGCCUGUUCAGAGUUUAUGUCCGUGCCCCUCUUCCGCGGCGACGGCGUCGGCUUCAGCUUCGUCUCCGGCGAUGGGGACGUCCGGCGAGGAUCCGUUUUCUGUGGCCAAGAUGGGCCGGGGUCGUUGUCUGAGGCGUCAGACUCCCUGGUUUCGGCGAUGUGAUGGCUGCCGGCCAUCUCUCCUGGCCUGUUCGUUCAUCGUCUUCAAGAUGCAUUGGUUCUCUGAUGUGCUGCUCAUGGUGCCUUUCAAACUUCAUUUCCUUCGUCGGUGUGGUGGUCGGCUUCAUGGAUGGCUCCGAUCGUCGGCGACAAGGAAGACCGGGGAUUCUUACAAGGAUCUGAAUGUAACUUCCGUUUCUUUCAAGUUUGUUUUUUGUAAGAUGGGUUGUAAACUACCAGUUUUAUUAAGAAUGAAAAUCCCGGUUCCUCUAAAAAAAA
This is a long non-coding RNA of Panicum virgatum (switchgrass), 696 nucleotides long. RefSeq lists it as uncharacterized. Lineage: Eukaryota; Viridiplantae; Streptophyta; Magnoliopsida; Poales; Poaceae. The record is from RefSeq and is a predicted model, not a curated record. The transcript has 2 exons.